This 496-nucleotide ribosomal RNA is filed under the name uncultured bacterium. Its description in RNAcentral is "partial 16S ribosomal RNA". It matches the Rfam family "Bacterial small subunit ribosomal RNA", at positions 29 to 507 of the family's 1533-position model. The record is from RNAcentral.
AUGAACGCUGGCGGCGUGCCUAAUACCUGCAAGUCGAGCGAACAGACGAGGAGCUUGCUCCUCUGACGUUAGCGGCGGACGGGUGAGUAACCCGUGGAUAACCUACCUAUAAGACUGGGAUAACUUCGGGAAACCGGAGCUAAUACCGGAUAAUAUAUUGAACCGCAUGGUUCAAUAGUGAAAGACGGUUUUGCUGUCACUUAUAGAUGGAUCCGCGCCGCAUUAGCUAGUUGGUAAGGUAACGGCUUACCAAGGCAACGAUGCGUAGCCGACCUGAGAGGGUGAUCGGCCACACUGGAACUGAGACACGGUCCAGACUCCUACGGGAGGCAGCAGUAGGGAAUCUUCCGCAAUGGGCGAAAGCCUGACGGAGCAACGCCGCGUGAGUGAUGAAGGUCUUCGGAUCGUAAAACUCUGUUAUUAGGGAAGAACAAAUGUGUAAGUAACUAUGCACGUCUUGACGGUACCUAAUCAGAAAGCCACGGCUAACUACGUG